Acanthopagrus latus (yellowfin seabream) is the source of this 930-nucleotide long non-coding RNA. RefSeq lists it as uncharacterized. The record is from RefSeq and is a predicted model, not a curated record. The transcript is spliced from 5 exons. NCBI's taxonomy places the organism in Eukaryota, Metazoa, Chordata, Actinopteri, Spariformes, Sparidae.
GAUUACAUCUUCUUUUUUUCUGUUACGAUCAGCAUAUAUACAUAAAAACACACACAUAGGUAUGUAGUCAUAGUUAUAUUAAAGUUCUUCCUCUUCUAUCUAGGUGAACAGUGGGACUUGUCUUCAGCUUCAAGUGGAACAGCUCUGACCUGUAUGGUGAUCAGACUCGGAGAGGAGAGACACCUGGUCCAACAAGGUGAUGGACGGCUGAAAGGACUAAUCAUCAAGAUGAACAAGACAAGCCAAACAUUGGAGACGAGCCACCACAGGAGCCUGAAGGAAAAUUAACGAGAGCAGCCAGGAGCUGAAAGUGUGGGCAGAGGAACAGGAUGCUGAGGACGAGUUGGAAGACGGUUCCCUGAACCUGCACUGAAUCCCGAUUUCCUGUAAUCGAGUUUUGUGGACUGACAGUUUGCAUGGUUGGUGCUCGGCCCAGGACAGGAGAGACACCUGGUCCAACAAGGUGAUGGAUGGUUGACAGGACGAAUUAUCAAGAGGAGCCAAACAAUGGAGAUGAGCCGCCACUGGAGCCUGAAGGGAAAGAAACGAGAGCAGCCAGGAGCCUCAAGUGUGGGCAGAGGACUGGGCUGAUGAAGACGAGUUGGACAACAGCCUCCUGAACUGAAUCCUGAUUUCCUGUAAUCAAGUUUUGUGGACUGACAUAUUGUCUGGUUGGUGCUCGGCCCAGGAGAGGAAGGCUCUGCAGCGGGUGAUCCAUCCAUCCACAGAGCAUCAGUGACAGAGGAGAGGUGAAGUGUCUGCUCAGAGCUCCAAGAAUACUGAAAAAGGCUAAAAGAACCAGAAGUAACUGCUGAUGUAGCUUCUGUCCUCGGUGAGACUCUCCAACAUGAAAAAUAUUUUGAACAUCAACAAAAUAGACUGCUUUGGUUUCUAUCCAUCUGUGAUGAAGCAUUAAAUGAGUCAAACUUA